RNAcentral lists this small RNA (2768 nucleotides) under Mytilus galloprovincialis (Mediterranean mussel). The record is from RNAcentral. Lineage: Eukaryota; Metazoa; Mollusca; Bivalvia; Mytilida; Mytilidae.
AUGUUACAAAAAGCUGCAAUAGAGGAGGUGUCGAUCUUAACUCUGUCUCCGGGAUUUUAUUCCCGUCUUUUUCUGGUUCCAAAGAAGACUGGAGGAAUGAGGCCGGUCAUAGACCUAUCUAUUCUGAACAAAUUUCUUAUUGUUCCCCACUUCAAAAUGGAAACAAACAGAUCCAUCAGGGCUUCAAUCCUUCCAGGAAUGUGGACUACUUCUCUGGAUCUUUCAGACGCGUAUUUCCACAUUCCCAUUUCCCAAACUUACAGGAAAUACCUUCGCUUCGUUUGGAACAACAAAGUUUUCCAGUUCAAGGCUCUCCCUUUUGGCCUGUCUACAGCCCCUUUGGCUUUUACCAAAAUCAUGCAGGCAGCUAUAGCUCACCUACAUUCCCUGUCUAUUCAGAUUCAUUCCUACCUGGACGAUUCCCUUCUCAAGGAAUUUUGCCCAAUCAAAUUGAGGGUUCAGACAGAUUUGGUCAUCAAUUGUUUUCUGUCCCUAGGUUUCCUUAUCUCUUGGAAAAAGUCAGAGAUAAUUCCGUCUCAAGACUUUGUUUUCCUGGGAGAACAUUUCCUAACCAGUGUAGGCCUAGUCCUCCCACCAGAGGAGAAAUUUACAAAACUAUGUCAGAAAAUACAUUUAUUCCUGACGGUUCAAUCAGUCACAGCACGUCAAUUCUUGCAACUUCUGGGUCUAUUGAACUCUCUGGCAGAUGUAAUUCCAUUGGGACGACUUCACAUUCGUCCGCUUCAGUUUUAUCUGCACAAGUUAUGGAUUGCAGCUUCACAAGAAUGGGAAGCAUUGAUUCCAAUCACUCAGCCUUUAUUUCCACACCUUCAAUGGUGGUUAGUACGGGAAAAUGUAAUGAGGGGCCUAUGUCUGUUCCCUCAAGUUCCCAGUCUAACAUUAUUCACAGAUGCCUCCACCCUCGGUUGGGGAGCAUAUCUGGAGGGGCUUACAAUCUCGGGAGUCUGGAGUCCAGAUCUUUUGGAAGAGCAUAUCAAUGUAUUGGAAAUGAAAGCAGUUCUGUUUGCACUGAAUCAUUUCCAAAUGUCUCUAAAGAAUCAGUCUGUCAUUCUGGCCACGGACAACACAACAGUUGUAGCUUAUCUCAAGAAUCAGGGAGGAACUCAUUCACCUUCUCUUUAUCAGAUAGCCAGAGACAUUCUCCUUCUGUGUUUUCAACUCCAGGUUCAUCUAGUGGUGAGACAUAUUGCGGGGCACCUCAAUAUUCUAGCCGACACUCUAUCCAGAUCCCUUGCUCCAGUAAACACGGAGUGGGAACUACUUCAAGUAGUUUUCAAAGCUGUGACUCUUCAUUGGGGGUCACCUCAGAUAGAUCUGUUUGCGACCAGUCUCAAUCACAAACUUCUAACAUUUGUGUCUCCGGUUCCGGAUCCAAAAUCUUUUGCGGUAGACGCAAUGAGCCUAUCUUGGAAAGGAAUGUUCGGGUACGCCUUCCCUCCUUUCAGGUUUCUCUCCCCAGUACUUCAGAAAAUAGCAGGGGAAAAUUGCAAGAUCAUAGUUAUUGCUCCAGCAUGGCCAAAACAGUCUUGGUUUCCAGACCUUCUGCGCCUUUCAUGUGCUUGUCCUCUAGUUCUACCUCUGAGACCAGACCUUCUGUCUCAAAUCAAGGGCAAGGUUCUUUAUCAAAAUCCAGAAAAACUUCAUCUACACGCCUGGCUUCUCUCAGGGUUAGCCUCAGAAAGAGAGGUUUUUCUGAAGGAGCAACCAAGCAUCUCACAAAGUCUGUCAGAGACUCCACUAGCAUUGUCUAUGAUGCAAAAUGGUCAAUCUUCUCAGAUUGGUGUAGUGAGCGGGAAAUUGAUCCUUUCCAAGUCACUGUACAACAAUUAGCAGACUUUCUAGUUUUUCUUUUUGAAUCCAAAGGAUUAUGUCCCUCUACUAUUAAGGGAUAUAGAUCAGCUAUCUCAAGAACUAUUCAUAUUUCUGGUGGCCCAGAUUUUGGAAUCAAUGAGCAUAUUUCUCUUUUGGUUCGUAGUUUUAGUCUUGAAAGACCAAGACAAAAAACUUUAGUUCCUAAGUGGGACCUUGGACUAGUUUUAUCCUUUUUAAAACUUCCUCCUUUUGAACCAGCAGAAACAAUAGAUUUAAGGUUUCUUUCCUAUAAAUGCUGUUUUCUUUUAGCUUUGGCUUCUGGACGGAGAAGGAGUGAAAUCCAUGCCUUCUCUAUUUCUGAUGCUUGCCUUCGAUUUAACAGGGAUAAAUCUUCUGUUACUCUUUUAACGGAUCCUGCUUUUUUGGCAAAGAAUCAGAUUCCAGAUAAGGGUGCAGAACCAGUUGUGAUUCCUGCACUCCCUAGCGAUUCUAUUUCUGUACUUUUAUGUCCAGUAAGAAUCCUUUCUAUUUAUCUGGAAAGAACGUGUAGUUUACGUUCUGUUUCUAACUCAAGACUCUUUAUUCCUAUUAAAAAAGGAAUCUCAGAUCUUUCUGUUAAAACUAUUUCUACUUGGAUAUGCAAAUGCAUAUCUUUAGCUUAUGGUUCUUCUAAGGCAGAACUUUUAAAUAGUUUUAAUGUUAAAGCCCAUGAUGUUAGGGGUAUCUCUACAUCCUGGGCUCUGUUUAACAGUGCAUCUUUAGAAGAGGUACUGUCUGCAGGUUUCUCGAGAAAUGAGAACUCUUUUAUAUCUCACUACCUCCAAUCUAUGGCUACUUUUGCCGAGAGUUUAUACUCUCUUGGACCUAUAGUUUCAGCACAAAGAUUGAACUUUCCUCCUGUUUCUUCUGUUACAGGGGAUUCAGCUUUACGUUAG